CGCGGCGUGGCGAGGCGGCGCGGCGGGUGCUCGGGCUGCUCGGCGACGUCGGGGUGCCUGACCCGGCGCGGCGG
This 74-nucleotide transfer RNA is filed under the name Sinosporangium siamense. RNAcentral's name for it is "tRNA-Pro". Lineage: Bacteria; Bacillati; Actinomycetota; Actinomycetes; Streptosporangiales; Streptosporangiaceae. The record is from RNAcentral.